This 376-nucleotide ribosomal RNA is filed under the name Byasa dasarada (great windmill). RNAcentral describes it as "Atrophaneura dasarada (great windmill) partial 12S ribosomal RNA". The record is from RNAcentral. Lineage: Eukaryota; Metazoa; Arthropoda; Insecta; Lepidoptera; Papilionidae.
AUUAAACUAGGGAUAGAUACCCUAUUAUUAAAAAUUAAUUUAAAAAUACUAAAAUAGUAUAUAAUUAUUUAUAAAAACUUAAAUAAUUUGGCGGUAUUUUAGUUCAUUUAGAGGAAUCUGUCUAAUAAUUGAUAAUCCACGAAUAAAUUUACUUAAUUAAUGAAUUUUGUAUAUCGUUGUUAAAAAAAUAUUUUUUUAUAAAAAUAAUAUUUUAAAAUUUAUUUUAAAAAUUAAUUCAGAUCAAGAUGCAGAUUAUAGUUAAGAAUAUGAUGGAUUACAAUAAGAAAAAAUUAAAUGAAUAAUAUUUUGUAAAAAAUAUUUGAAGGUGGAUUUAAAUGUAAUUUUAUUUAAUGUCUUGAUUACGUCUUGGGCCGGG